This 703-nucleotide ribosomal RNA is filed under the name Crocus sativus. RNAcentral describes it as "eukaryotic LSU rRNA". The stretch from base 287 to 442 matches the Rfam family "5.8S ribosomal RNA". The record is from RNAcentral. Lineage: Eukaryota; Viridiplantae; Streptophyta; Magnoliopsida; Asparagales; Iridaceae.
GAACCUGCGGAAGGAUCAUUGUCGAGACCCGAACAAACGGACGAUCGCGAACGUGUUACACCAUACUUACUUACUUACGACUCCGUUCCGUCCCGUCACUCCUCGCGGCGUGGCGAGAUUUUGGAGGAAACGAAACCCCGGCGCAGUGGGCGCCAAGGAACACUUCUUGGAAACGCCGUCGCGGCCCUCUCCACCUCCCUUUCUGUCUGUCCCACGAUAGGGAGGGAGGGAGGGAGGGAGGGAGGAGGAGGGACGCAGGCGUGGAUAUACAUAUCGUAUUCUGUACGACUCUCGGCAACGGAUAUCUAGGCUCUCGCAUCGAUGAAGAACGUAGCGAAAUGCGAUACUUGGUGUGAAUUGCAGAAUCCCGUGAACCAUCGAGUCUUUGAACGCAAGUUGCGCCCGAGGCCAUCCGGUCGAGGGCACGCCUGCCUGGGCGUCACGCCUCCCGUCGCUCCCCACAGCCGUGCGGAUGCGGAGAUUGGCCCGCCGUGCUCCGUGCGCGGCGGGUCGAAGUGCCGGCCGUCGUCGGGCCUGGCGCGGCGAAUGGUGGACGAAUACAUCGUUGUUUGUGCCUACUCUCCGUGUCCUUGCCCUCAACAAUGCGACAUGUCGUCGUCGGACCCCUCACCAUGGACCCUUCCGGCUUCCGAAUAAGAAGAAGGAACCGUCCUCGGAACGCGACCCCAGGUCAGGCGGGGCU